GACGAACGCUGGCGGCGCGCUUAACACAUGCAAGUCGAACGGAAAGGCCUGCUUUCCCUUGUGGAUUGCGGGUACUCGAGUGGCGAACGGGUGAGUAACACGUGAGUGAUCUGCCCCCAACUUGGGUAUAAGCCUGGGAAACUGGGUCUAAUUCCCGAUAGGACUGCAGGGUGGUGCCUGUGGUGGAAAACGAUUUUCUAGUGGUUGGGGAUGAGCUCGCGGCCUAUCAGCUUGUUGGUGGGGUAAUGGCCUACCAAGGCGGCGACGGGUAGUCGGCCUGAGAGGGUGGACGGCCACAUUGGGACUGAGAUACGGCCCCGACUCCUACGGGAGGCAGCAGUGGGGAAUAUUACACAAUGGGCGGAAGCCUGAUGCAGCGACGCCGCGUGGGGGAUGUCGGCCUUCGGGUUGUAAACUCCUUUCGACCGCGAGGAAGCCACCUGGUUGGAAGGGUGGUGACGGUAGUGGUAGAAGAAGCACCGGGUAACUACGUG
Molecule: ribosomal RNA, 494 nt
Filed under: uncultured bacterium
Lineage: Bacteria
Description: partial 16S ribosomal RNA
Rfam family: Bacterial small subunit ribosomal RNA
Source: RNAcentral